UACGUAGGGUGCAAGCGUUGUCCGGAAUCAUUGGGCGUAAAGAGCGUGUAGGCGGCCCGGUAAGUCCGCCGUGAAAGUCCAGGGCUCAACCCUGGAAUGCCGGUGGAUACUGUCGGGCUAGAGUCCGGAAGGGGCGAGUGGAAUUCCUGGUGUAGCGGUGAGAUGCGCAGAUAUCAGGAGGAACACCAAUUGCGAAGGCAGCUCGCUGGGACGUAACUGACGCUGAGACGCGAAAGCGUGGGGAGCAAACAGG
This 253-nucleotide ribosomal RNA is filed under the name uncultured bacterium. RNAcentral describes it as "partial 16S ribosomal RNA". It matches the Rfam family "Bacterial small subunit ribosomal RNA", at positions 524 to 776 of the family's 1533-position model. The record is from RNAcentral.